CAACUUUCAGCAACGGAUCUCUUGGCUCUCGCAUCGAUGAAGAACGCAGCGAAAUGCGAUAAGUAAUGUGAAUUGCAGAAUUCAGUGAAUCAUCGAAUGUUUGAACGCAU
Molecule: ribosomal RNA, 110 nt
Filed under: Radulodon americanus
Lineage: Eukaryota; Fungi; Basidiomycota; Agaricomycetes; Polyporales; Cerrenaceae
Also listed under: 1 other name
Description: 5.8S ribosomal RNA
Rfam family: 5.8S ribosomal RNA
About the family: 5.8S ribosomal RNA (5.8S rRNA) is a component of the large subunit of the eukaryotic ribosome.
Source: RNAcentral